AAAAAAAAAAACAGUGUGAAAACAGAAUCCACGGUAGUAAUACGAAGUUAAAGGAAUGAUGGGUGUAUCAUUUAAAGCCAAAGAAGAAAAAAAGGAAAAAACAAAAAACACAGCUGGCAUUUAUUGAUUAUUGCUCACCAAGCACUGUUUUUAAUUAAUCCUCACAGGAUCUUAGAAGUGAGUACUAUUCUUAGCUCCAUUUUACAGAAGAGGUCCAGAGAAUUUGAACAAACUUGCUCACACCAGACAGCCAGUAAGUAGUCCAGUAGAUAUUUAACCCCAGGAGCUUUGACAUUAGAACAUGUGCACCUAAAAACUGCAUUGUGCUACCCAAAAUGUGCUGACUCCCCCCAAAUCUCUCUAUGUGUUUGUACUAUCACAUCUGACCACUGGGAUCUUCAUCCCUCUUUCCAUCUCUGUGCUCUGUAUUUUGCCAUACUCAAUCUGUUCCAAUGUUAUGCCCUCAGAAGAGCCAUCCUGAAGAAAACCAGUUGUUGUCCAGUCAAGUCUGACACGUGACAACCCCAUGUGUGUCAGAUUAGAACAACGGCUCAUUUUCUAGAACUAGAUCACCAGGCCUUUCUUCUGGGCUGCCUCUGGGUGAACUUAAAUCACCAACCUUUCAGUUAGCAGCUGAGUGUGUGAACUGUUUACAUCAUUCCCCAGUCUAGAAUAGCACCCCCUCUGGUCGUUCGGGUUCUCUUACUCUGUUUUCUUUCUUGGCUCUCAUUUCAAACUGGUAAAUAUUGCAUAUGUAUUUGUUCAUGGCCUUCAGCCUGUGGACCUCCAGAAUGUCAGCUCCUUGAGAGCGAGGGCUUUGUAAGUCUCCAGAUCACUGUGCCUCCUUCAAGCUGGACUAUAACAAGGCUCUGUGGAAAUAAGCAUCAUAAGGAGAUGCAAAUGUUGAAGAGGAAGGAGGAAGAGCUGGACUGAGCAAGCCAAAGUGAUAUGGGGCUGAAAGAAGGCGGACUCAAUAGCAGCUUCAGUUCUGAGUCAGCAGGGUGUCCAGGGCCAUAGUCUCGGGGGUUCCUCCAGUCUUUGUCAGACCAAUUCAUGGAGCAUUUUGAUAAUUCGUUUCAAGAGGACAGAGUCCAGAUUUGUCUUGUGCACCUACCACCAUAUUUCCCACGCCUGACAAGGUGUCAGAAACCUAACAGGCACUCAACUAACGUUUUUCAAUAAAUGCGUGGAUGA
Long non-coding RNA from Loxodonta africana (African savanna elephant), 1194 nucleotides. RefSeq lists it as uncharacterized. The transcript has 3 exons. Lineage: Eukaryota; Metazoa; Chordata; Mammalia; Proboscidea; Elephantidae. The record is from RefSeq and is a predicted model, not a curated record.